UGGGGGAUAUUGCACAAUGGAGGAAACUCUGAUGCAGCAAUGCCGCGUGAGGGAAGACGGUCUUCGGAUUGUAAACCUCUGUCCUUGGUGAAGAUAAUGACGGUAGCCAAGGAGGAAGCUCCGGCUAACUACGUGCCAGCAGCCGCGGUAAUACGUAGGGAGCAAGCGUUGUCCGGAUUUACUGGGUGUAAAGGGUGCGUAGGCGGCUUUUUAAGUCGGGCGUGAAAGCUGUGGGCUUAACCCACAAAUUGCGUUCGAAACUGGAAGGCUUGAGUGAAGUAGAGGUAGGCGGAAUUCCCGGUGUAGCGGUGAAAUGCGUAGAGAUCGAGAGGAACACCAGUGGCGAAGGCGGCCUACUGGGCUUUAACUGACGCUGAGGCACGAAAGCAUGGGUAGCAAACA
Molecule: ribosomal RNA, 402 nt
Filed under: uncultured bacterium
Lineage: Bacteria
Description: bacterial SSU rRNA
Rfam family: Bacterial small subunit ribosomal RNA
Source: RNAcentral